Molecule: unclassified non-coding RNA, 1790 nt
Filed under: Hevea brasiliensis (rubber tree)
Lineage: Eukaryota; Viridiplantae; Streptophyta; Magnoliopsida; Malpighiales; Euphorbiaceae
Source: RNAcentral
AAGACGAUAAUUCAGAAAAAAUUAUUUUUCAAUAAAGAAAACACAAAAAUGAUGUUCACAGAAUUGAAUGAAAAUACUUGUAUAUUUAGGGGAACUGAUUAACCUUUUUGUACAUACAACUUACUAUUCUCUAUCAAAAGAUGAAAAAUAGAGAGAGAAUGAGGGGGGAGUAGGUUGUGGAUGUAGAAAAGAAAUAACACUGGGAGAGAGAUAAAGAAGAGUAGGAGAGAAAUAAGUGGGAGAGGAUCAGAGUAGUUUGAGUGUAAAAAAUAACUGGAGGGAAUAGAGUUAACAGAACCAAAUUAUAAGAUUAAUUAAUUUGUUUUUAAAAUACAUGGAAUAAUUAAUUAGUUUUAUUGAAAUAAAUGAACUAAAUAGUAGUUUGACUAGUAUUGACUAACGGAAAAAUUGAUGGAUGACUAAAUAGUUUAACGAACUAAAAAUAAAGGAAUUAAAUGGUAUACUUUUCAAAUAUAGGGACUAAGUAGUUAGUUUUCUUAACAUAUAGGGACUAUAUAGUAAUUUUCCCUUUGUUUUUUUAAUAUUGUAAGAAACAAAGUUAGUUGUUACUCAUAACUUCUGUCAUUUUUUGCUCCCUUAAUUUUAACACUCUUUAACUUUUACUUUUGUAACUUUUUAACUUUCAAUUCUUAAACUUCAAGACAAAUGCACCCUAACAGCUAAUAAUAGGGCACUAGAAAUGGUACUUUUACAAUUUGGAGAGAGAUUGAUUAAAACUCUCAUGUUAAUGACAAAUGAUCUAGGCAUUUUUUGCAAUGUUCUUUGGAAACAAUUUCGAUUAUUAUGCUGAGACAAUUAAACAAUUUUUAUGAAUGUUCUGGAAAUAAUUGAUCGUAUCAUCUGAGUAUCUACAAUAAGCAAUAUAACUGAGUCUGAACUAUAACACAAAGGCAAUUUACUUGGUAAAUCAUGUGUCAUUCGGCUUUUACACUUCCCAGGUAAUCGGAUCUAUCACUGGAGUUAGGUACAUUAUUGAGUACUUUCCUGAAAUAGGAUUUGGGCCACGCCUCAAUGUCGACAUCCAUCAUGGCGCACUCACUGAAGGAUUGCUUACAUUUGCAAUUGUUACCAUCUCUCUUGGGCUUUCAAGAAAGAUCCCUGGAAGUUUCUUCAUGAAGACAUGGAUAUCAAGUGUCUCUAAAUUAGCUCUUCACAUACUUGGCUCCGAUCUGACUGGCGGUUGUAUGAACCCAGCCUCUGUAAGUGAUAUCAAUAUCAUUAGCAUUUGAUGCACAUAUCAUACAUCUGUUUUUGUUGCCAAAACUUUGGAAAACAGAGAUGAACUACUAGAGCUUUUUAAAAUGUGUAGGUGAUGGGAUGGGCUUAUGCCCGUGGAGAUCAUAUAACUAAGGAGCAUAUACUUGUAUAUUGGCUUGCUCCAAUAGAGGCAACUCUUCUGGCAGUAUGGACAUUUAAGCUACUAGUUCGACCCCAAAAGCAAGAGAAGGAAGAGUCGAAGAGUAAAUCAGAUUGAUGUUUGAUGAUAAUCAAACUGAAGCAAUCCACUGUGUUUUCUCCUUGUAAAGUUGCUUGGAUCAGUGUCUAUUUAUUGUUAAUUUAUCUCCAGCAUCUUCUUGUUGGUCAGAACUCUCUAUCAGAUGAUGGCCAACCGUGUUAGCUAGCUUAGCAGUUCUGCUUGAUUAUUUUAAUAAAUGUAAAUACUUUUGUUAGCUAAUGCAAAAUUACUAUGGAAUAAGGUUCAAAUUUCAAAUUGCCCAUUGUACUUGUCGGGGAUAUUCAAUUUAGUUAAUUUUUAAUUUGUGGUUCAA